RNAcentral lists this transfer RNA (81 nucleotides) under Polyangiaceae bacterium. RNAcentral describes it as "tRNA-Leu". It matches the Rfam family "tRNA". Rfam says of the family: Transfer RNA (tRNA) molecules are approximately 80 nucleotides in length. Their secondary structure includes four short double-helical elements and three loops (D, anti-codon, and T loops). The record is from RNAcentral. Lineage: Bacteria; Pseudomonadati; Myxococcota; Polyangiales; Polyangiaceae.
GGCCCCUUGGCGGAAUGGUAUACGCAGCGGACUUAAAAUCCGUGAACGAAAGUUGUGCCGGUUCAAGUCCGGCAGGGGCUA